ACAGUGGAUGAUCUGCGUGUUAUAGUGCUGCCAUUUAAAAGCAUUAUGUCUGGUGUGUGGCUGGUUUUACAGAUCCAUGCAUACUGGAAAGGUGCCGGGAGAGAGAAGGACAAUUAGGUGCAUCAGAUAAUAUGUCAGAGAUUCACCUUUCUGAAACUCAAAGAUGUCAGCCAGAAGCGGCACCAUUCCUGGGAGAGCGAGAACUAGAGCUUUAAAACCUUAGUUUUAGCAAUAACACAAUGUAUGAUGAGCUAUAAUGCUAACCUUCCUGUGCUAACUUUAUUUAAUUGUAUAUAUUUCAAUAGAAAAAUCAAGCAUUAUUGUACAACUAAAAUGUGGUUUUGCUGAUUCUUUGAACAAUAAUUUGUAUAAAUAAUUGCAUAUGAAAAACUUAUCUUUACAUUAUUGUUCAU
Non-coding RNA from Pimephales promelas (fathead minnow), 413 nucleotides. The record is from RefSeq and is a predicted model, not a curated record. NCBI's taxonomy places the organism in Eukaryota, Metazoa, Chordata, Actinopteri, Cypriniformes, Leuciscidae.